UACCAGCACCCCGAGUGGUCGGGACGAUUAUUGGGCCUAAAGCAUCCGUAGCCGGUCCUACAAGUCUUCCGUUAAAUCCACCUGCUUAACAGAUGGGCUGCGGAAGAUACUAUAGGGCUAGGAGGCGGGAGAGGCAAGCGGUACUCAGUGGGUAGGGGUAAAAUCCUCUGAUCCAUUGAAGACCACCAGUGGCGAAGGCGGCUCACUGGACCGGAACUGACGCUGAGGCGCGAAAGCGUGGGGAGCAAACAGG
RNAcentral lists this ribosomal RNA (253 nucleotides) under uncultured bacterium. RNAcentral's name for it is "partial 16S ribosomal RNA". It matches the Rfam family "Archaeal small subunit ribosomal RNA", at positions 474 to 727 of the family's 1478-position model. The record is from RNAcentral.